Molecule: ribosomal RNA, 378 nt
Filed under: uncultured bacterium
Lineage: Bacteria
Description: bacterial SSU rRNA
Rfam family: Bacterial small subunit ribosomal RNA
Source: RNAcentral
GACGAACGCUGGCGGCGUGCUUAACACAUGCAAGUCGAGCGGUAAGGCCCUUUCGGGGGUACACGAGCGGCGAACGGGUGAGUAACACGUGGGUGACCUGCCCUUAGCUCUGGGAUAAGCCUGGGAAACUGGGUCUAAUACCGGAUAUGACUCCAUGACGCAUGUUGUGGGGUGGAAAGCCUUGUGCGGCUAGGGAUGGCCCGCGGCCUAUCAGCUUGUUGGUGGGGUGAUGGCCACCAAGGCGACGACGGUAGCCGGCCUGAGAGGCGACCGGCCACACUGGGACUGAGACACGGCCCAGACUCCUACGGGAGGCAGCAGUGGGGAAUCUUGCGCAAUGGGCGAAAGCCUGACGCAGCGACGCCGCGUGAGGGAUGA